This 776-nucleotide ribosomal RNA is filed under the name uncultured Neocallimastigales. Its description in RNAcentral is "partial large subunit ribosomal RNA". It matches the Rfam family "Eukaryotic large subunit ribosomal RNA", at positions 23 to 644 of the family's 3401-position model. Lineage: Eukaryota; Fungi; Neocallimastigomycota; Neocallimastigomycetes; Neocallimastigales. The record is from RNAcentral.
ACACGCAUGACACACUGCAUAUCAAUAAGCGGAGGAAAAGAAACUAACUAGGAUUCCCUUAGUAACGGCGAGUGAAGCGGGAAGAGCUCAAAUUUGAAAUCUUCAAGGUUCUACCUUGACGAAUUGUAGUUUAUAGAAGUGUUUUCUGUUAGUGGAGUGGCAAAAGUUCUUUGGAAUAGGACAUCAUAGAGGGUGAGAAUCCCGUAUUUGGUCAUUCCUCCUAGCGUUGUGAUACACUUUCAACGAGUCGGAUUGUUUGGGAAUGCAGUCCAAAAUGGGUGGUAAAUUUCAUCUAAAGCUAAAUAUUGGCGAGAGACCGAUAGCGAACAAGUACCGUGAGGGAAAGAUGAAAAGAACUUUGAAAAGAGAGUUAAACAGUACGUGAAAUUGUCAAAAGGGAAGCGUUUGACACCAGUGUUGUUUUCUCGAAAGUCAAUUAAAAAUGGCCGGAUUUUGUGUUGUAUUGACCUUUAUCAGCCUUCUUCACUCUUUUCUUGUCUUUUUUAAUGCACUUUUCGUUUAACAAGUCAACAUCAGUUUCUUUUGUUGUUAAAGGGUCAUUGGAAGGUGGCUUUCUUUUCGGAGAAAGUGUUUAUAGCCUUUGAUCUCUGCAACCGGAGAGACUGAGGUCUGCAGCGUAGACUCUUCGGGGUUAGGAUACAUUUGUGCUAAGCUAUAGCUUUUUAUAGACAACUUGUUGACUAUAUUUAGUCUUGUAGCUUACUCGCAUAUGCUAUUCUACCUACGCUUAGGAUGUUGACUGAUAUGUAGUCGUA